UGGGGAAUUUUGGACAAUGGGGGCAACCCUGAUCCAGCAAUGCCGCGUGAGUGAAGAAGGCCUUCGGGUUGUAAAGCUCUUUUGUCAGGGAAGAAACGGUAGUAGCGAAUAACUAUUACUAAUGACGGUACCUGAAGAAUAAGCACCGGCUAACUACGUGCCAGCAGCCGCGGUAAUACGUAGGGUGCAAGCGUUAAUCGGAAUUACUGGGCGUAAAGCGUGCCCAGGCGGUUGUGUAAGUCAGAUGUGAAAUCCCCGGGCUCAACCUGGGAAUUGCAUUUGAGACUGCACGGCUAGAGUGUGUCAGAGGGGGGUAGAAUUCCACGUGUAGCAGUGAAAUGCGUAGAUAUGUGGAGGAAUACCGAUGGCGAAGGCAGCCCCCUGGGAUAACACUGACGCUCAUGCACGAAAGCGUGGGGAGCAAACAGGAUUAGAUACCCCAGUAGUCCCUGAGCGGGCUGGCAAGGCGCAU
Molecule: ribosomal RNA, 472 nt
Filed under: uncultured bacterium
Lineage: Bacteria
Description: bacterial SSU rRNA
Rfam family: Bacterial small subunit ribosomal RNA
Source: RNAcentral